GCGGGGCGGCGUGCCCUUAAUACCAGCCAAGUUGAGGGAGCGGAAACCAACCGAUUUACUUCCGGAAAGACGUUGGGAAAAGCGAGCGGCGGGAGGGGUGAGUAACACGUGGGGAACCUGCCCCUAAGUCUGGGAUACCAUUUGGAAACAGGUGCUAAUACCGGAUAAUAAAGCAGAUCGCAUGAUCAGCUUUUGAAAGGCGGCGUAAGCUGUCGCUAAGGGAUGGCCCCGCGGUGCAUUAGCUAGUUGGUAAGGUAACGGCUUACCAAGGCGACGAUGCAUAGCCGAGUUGAGAGACUGAUCGGCCACAUUGGGACUGAGACACGGCCCAAACUCCUACGGGAGGCAGCAGUAGGGAAUCUUCCACAAUGGACGCAAGUCUGAUGGAGCAACGCCGCGUGAGUGAAGAAGGUUUUCGGAUCGUAAAGCUCUGUUGUUGGUGAAGAAGGAUAGAGGUAGUAACUGGCCUUUAUUUGACGGUAAUCAACCAGAAAGUCACGGCUAACUACGUGCCAGCAGCCGCGGUAAUACGUAGGUGGCAAGCGUUGUCCGGAUUUAUUGGGCGUAAAGCGAGCGCAGGCGGAAAAAUAAGUCUAAUGUGAAAGCCCUCGGCUUAACCGAGGAACUGCAUCGGAAACUGUUUUUCUUGAGUGCAGAAGAGGAGAGUGGAACUCCAUGUGUAGCGGUGGAAUGCGUAGAUAUAUGGAAGAACACCAGUGGCGAAGGCGGCUCUCUGGUCUGCAACUGACGCUGAGGCUCGAAAGCAUGGGUAGCGAACAGGAUUAGAUACCCUGGUAGUCCAUGCCGUAAACGAUGGAUACUAGCUGUUGGAGGUAUCGACCCCUUCAGUAGCGAAGCUAACGC
This 864-nucleotide ribosomal RNA is filed under the name uncultured bacterium. RNAcentral's name for it is "bacterial SSU rRNA". It matches the Rfam family "Bacterial small subunit ribosomal RNA", at positions 35 to 858 of the family's 1533-position model. The record is from RNAcentral.